AUCAGUGGUCAUAGCAAGAGGGAUCACCUGAUAUCAUUCCGAACUCAGUAGUUAAAGCCUCUUUACGCUGAAAUGAAAAUUCGAAAGGUGAAAAUAGGGAACCGCUGUUU
RNAcentral lists this ribosomal RNA (110 nucleotides) under Mycoplasmopsis cynos. Lineage: Bacteria; Bacillati; Mycoplasmatota; Mycoplasmoidales; Metamycoplasmataceae. The record is from RNAcentral.